GCCAGUCGAGCGGAGUGAUGGUGCUUGCACUAUCACUUAGCGGCGGACGGGUGAGUAAUGCUUAGGAAUCUGCCUAUUAGUGGGGGACAACAUUUCGAAAGGAAUGCUAAUACCGCAUACGUCCUACGGGAGAAAGCAGGGGAUCUUCGGACCUUGCGCUAAUAGAUGAGCCUAAGUCGGAUUAGCUAGUUGGUGGGGUAAAGGCCUACCAAGGCGACGAUCUGUAGCGGGUCUGAGAGGAUGAUCCGCCACACUGGGACUGAGACACGGCCCAGACUCCUACGGGAGGCAGCAGUGGGGAAUAUUGGACAAUGGGCGCAAGCCUGAUCCAGCCAUGCCGCGUGUGUGAAGAAGGCCUUAUGGUUGUAAAGCACUUUAAGCGAGGAGGAGGCUACUGAAGUUAAUACCUUCAGAUAGUGGACGUUACUCGCAGAAUAAGCACCGGCUAACUCUGUGCCAGCAGCCGCGGUAAUACAGAGGGUGCAAGCGUUAAUCGGAUUUACUGGGCGUAAAGCGCGCGUAGGCGGCUAAUUAAGUCAAAUGUGAAAUCCCCGAGCUUAACUUGGGAAUUGCAUUCGAUACUGGUUAGCUAGAGUGUGGGAGAGGAUGGUAGAAUUCCAGGUGUAGCGGUGAAAUGCGUAGAGAUCUGGAGGAAUACCGAUGGCGAAGGCAGCCAUCUGGCCUAACACUGACGCUAGGUGCGAAAGCAUGGGGAGCAAACAGGAUUAGAUACCCUGGUAGUCCAUGCCGUAAACGAUGUCUACUAGCCGUUGGGGCCUUUGAGGCUUUAGUGGCGCAGCUUACGCGAUAAGUAGACCGCCGGGGGAGUACGGUCGCAAGACUAAAACUCAAAUGAAUUGACGGGGGCCCGCACAAGCGGUGGAGCAGGUGGUUUAAUUCGAUGCAACGCGAAGAACCUUACCUGGCCUUGACUAGUAAGAACUUUCCGAGAUGGAUGGUGCCUUCGGGAACUUACAUACGGUGCUGCAGGGCUUUCGUCAGCUCGUGUCGUGAGAUGUUGGGUUAAGUCCCGCAACGAGCGCACCCUUUUCCUAUUUGCCGCGAGUAA
RNAcentral lists this ribosomal RNA (1069 nucleotides) under Acinetobacter sp. RNAcentral's name for it is "bacterial SSU rRNA". It matches the Rfam family "Bacterial small subunit ribosomal RNA", at positions 57 to 1128 of the family's 1533-position model. The record is from RNAcentral. Lineage: Bacteria; Pseudomonadati; Pseudomonadota; Gammaproteobacteria; Moraxellales; Moraxellaceae.